This 475-nucleotide ribosomal RNA is filed under the name uncultured bacterium. Its description in RNAcentral is "bacterial SSU rRNA". It matches the Rfam family "Bacterial small subunit ribosomal RNA", at positions 28 to 507 of the family's 1533-position model. The record is from RNAcentral.
GACGAACGCUGGCGGCGUGCCUCAAACAUGCAAGUCGAGCGGACGGAGACGAACCGCAAGGGGAGGUUGAAGUUAGCGGCGAACGGGUGAGUAACACGUGGGUAACCUACCCCUAAAGUCUGGGACAACGGCCCGAAAGGGCCGCUAAUACCGGAUAAUGUCUUCGGGUCGCAUGGCCUGGGGAAGAAAGCCGAAAGGCGCUUAUGGAUGGGCUCGCGUCCCAUCAGCUAGUUGGUAAGGUAACGGCUUACCAAGGCGACGACGGGUAGCCGGUCUGAGAGGAUGGUCGGCCACACUGGGACUGAGAUACGGCCCAGACUCCUACGGGAGGCAGCAGUUGGGAAUAUUGGGCAAUGGGCGAAAGCCUGACCCAGCGACGCCGCGUGAGGGAAGAAGGCCUUCGGGUCGUAAACCUCUGUCAUCGGGGACGAAGAAAGUGACGGUACCCGAGGAGGAAGCCCCUGCUAACUACGUG